This 134-nucleotide non-coding RNA is filed under the name Brevibacterium linens. Its description in RNAcentral is "TPP sequence". It matches the Rfam family "TPP riboswitch aptamer (THI element)". From Rfam's summary of the family: Vitamin B(1) in its active form thiamin pyrophosphate (TPP) is an essential coenzyme that is synthesised by coupling of pyrimidine and thiazole moieties in bacteria. The previously detected thiamin-regulatory element, thi box was extended, resulting in a new, highly conserved RNA secondary structure, the THI element, which is widely distributed in eubacteria and also occurs in some archaea. Analysis of operon structures identified a large number of new candidate thiamin-regulated genes, mostly transporters, in various prokaryotic organisms. The record is from Rfam by way of RNAcentral. Lineage: Bacteria; Bacillati; Actinomycetota; Actinomycetes; Micrococcales; Brevibacteriaceae.
GGCAAUGACAUGGGGUGCCUCAUGAGGAUCCGUUCGCACCAAGACGCUGCGCACGGAGGACACCGAGGCUGAGAGAACACCCAUCGAACCUGAUCUGGGCCAUACUAGCGAAGGGAUCGUCAUGGUUGACUUCG